This 204-nucleotide ribosomal RNA is filed under the name uncultured bacterium. Its description in RNAcentral is "partial 16S ribosomal RNA". It matches the Rfam family "Bacterial small subunit ribosomal RNA", at positions 1288 to 1500 of the family's 1533-position model. The record is from RNAcentral.
CAUUCGGAUCGGAGUCUGCAACCCGACUCCGUGAAGCUGGAUUCGCUAGUAAUCGCGCAUCAGCCAUGGCGCGGUGAAUACGUUCCCGGGCCUUGUACACACCGCCCGUCAAGCCAUGGGAGCCGGGGGGUGCUUGAAGUGCGUCGCCGCAAGGCGCGCCCUAGAGCAAAACCGGUGACUGGGGCUAAGUCGUAACAAGGUACC